UACGUAGGGACCGAGCGUUGUCCGGAAUCAUUGGGCGUAAAGAGCGUGUAGGCGGCCAACUAAGUCCUGCGUGAAAUCUCGGGGCUCAACCCCGAGCGGUCGUGGGAAACUGGUUGGCUAGAGUGCGGGAGAGGAGAGUGGAAUUCCUGGUGUAGCGGUGAAAUGCGCAGAUAUCGAGAGGAACACCUGCGGCGAAGGCGGGUUGCUGGGCUGACACUGACGCUGAUGCGCGAAAGCUAGGGGAGCGAACGGG
Molecule: ribosomal RNA, 253 nt
Filed under: uncultured bacterium
Lineage: Bacteria
Description: partial 16S ribosomal RNA
Rfam family: Bacterial small subunit ribosomal RNA
Source: RNAcentral